CACGUAGGCUGCAAGCGUUGUUCGGAAUCAUUGGGCGUAAAGCGCGUGUAGGCGGCCAGCUAAGUCUGGUGUGAAAGCCCGGGGCUUAACCCCGGAAGGGCACUGGAUACUGACUGGCUAGAGGACGGGAGAGGAUGGUGGAAUUCCUGGUGUAGGGGUGAAAUCCGUAGAUAUCAGGAGGAACAUCUGUUGCGAAGGCGGCCAUCUGGCCCGUAUCUGACGCUGAGACGCGAAAGCGUGGGGAGCAAACAGG
This 253-nucleotide ribosomal RNA is filed under the name uncultured bacterium. Its description in RNAcentral is "partial 16S ribosomal RNA". It matches the Rfam family "Bacterial small subunit ribosomal RNA", at positions 524 to 776 of the family's 1533-position model. The record is from RNAcentral.